RNAcentral lists this ribosomal RNA (565 nucleotides) under uncultured Bacillota bacterium. RNAcentral's name for it is "bacterial SSU rRNA". It matches the Rfam family "Bacterial small subunit ribosomal RNA", at positions 338 to 916 of the family's 1533-position model. Lineage: Bacteria; Bacillati; Bacillota. The record is from RNAcentral.
CCUACGGGAGGCAGCAGUGGGGAAUAUUGCGCAAUGGGGGAAACCCUGACGCAGCAACGCCGCGUGAAGGAAGAAGGCUUUCGGGUCGUAAACUUUUGUCUUCUGGGAAGAAUAAAUGACGGUACCAGAGGAGGAAGCCACGGCUAACUACGUGCCAGCAGCCGCGGUAAUACGUAGGUGGCGAGCGUUGUCCGGAUUUACUGGGUGUAAAGGGUGCGUAGGCGGGUAUGCAAGUCAGAUGUGAAAUACCGGGGCUCAACUCCGGGGCUGCAUUUGAAACUGCAUAUCUUGAGUGCAGGAGAGGAAAGUGGAAUUCCUAGUGUAGCGGUGAAAUGCGUAGAGAUUAGGAGGAACACCAGUGGCGAAGGCGACUUUCUGGACUGUAACUGACGCUGAGGCACGAAAGUGUGGGGAGCAAACAGGAUUAGAUACCCUGGUAGUCCACGCCGUAAACUAUGGACGCUAGGUGUGGGGGACAUUCCACGUUCUCUGCGCCGCAGCUAACGCAUUAAGCGUCCCGCCUGGGGAGUACGACCGCAAGGUUAAAACUCAAAGGAAUUGACGG